Molecule: ribosomal RNA, 675 nt
Filed under: uncultured marine group III euryarchaeote
Lineage: Archaea; Methanobacteriati; Thermoplasmatota; Thermoplasmata; Candidatus Thermoprofundales
Description: bacterial SSU rRNA
Rfam family: Archaeal small subunit ribosomal RNA
Source: RNAcentral
CCCUAUGGGGUGCAGCAGGCGCGAAACCUCCACAAUUCACGAAAGUGAGAUGGGGCUACCUCGAGUGCCGUCUAAAAAAGGCGGCUUUUCCAUUGUGUAACUAGCCGUGGGAAUAAGGGGGGGGCAAGACUGGUGUCAGCCGCCGCGGUAACACCAGCCCCCCGAGUGGUGGGGAUGAUUAUUUGGCCUAAAGCGUCCGUAGCCGGCUCAUUAAAUCUCCCGUUAAAUCCAGCGUCCUAAGCGUUGGGCUGCGAGAGACACUGUUGAGCUAGAGGGUGGGAGAGGUCAGCGGUAUUUCUGGGGUAGGGGCGAAAUCCAUUGAUCCCAGGAGGACCACCAGUGGCGAAGGCUGCUGACUAGAACACGCCUGACGGUGAGGGACGAAAGCUGGGGUAGCGAAUCGGAUUAGAUACCCGAGUAGUCCCAGCCGUAAACGAUGCAGGCUAGGUGUUGGGUUGGCCACGCGCCAGCUCAGUGCCACAGGGAAGCCAUUAAGCCUGCCGCCUGGGGAGUACGGCCGCAAGGCUGAAACUUAAAGGAAUUGGCGGGGGAGCACCACCAGGCGUGAAGCCUGCGGUUUAAUUGGAGUCAACGCCGGGAAUCUUACCGGGAGCGACAGCAGAGUGAAGGCCAGGUUGAUGUCUUGCCGGACGAGCUGAGAGGUGGUGCAUGGCA